This 1583-nucleotide long non-coding RNA is filed under the name Homo sapiens (human). RNAcentral's name for it is "HSALNT0049389". Lineage: Eukaryota; Metazoa; Chordata; Mammalia; Primates; Hominidae. The record is from RNAcentral.
CGUCAAAACAGAGGGGGAAGCAGGCAGUCAGACCUACAGGCAUCCUACAAACUUCCCUUGUAUUCUUCCCCUUCUAUGUCAUCAAGCCGCUCCUCUGCAGCUCCUCUGAGAGCCUCCUGGUUCGCCCUUCAGCAGAGCAAGCACUCCGGACGCCAGGACCGUGGGGCUUGCCUUCCACAAUGCUGGAGCGCCAUCUGGUGGCCACGGGCAACCUCAGCCUCCUGCCGCCCGCAAGCUGGGUCCCCACCCCGGCUGAGGGCCCGCUGCGGGGGCACAGGGCGCGAGGACACAGCCUAGCACACUAGGGACUCACACUUCAUGUUCUUCAUCGGCAAGGGAAUCAUCGCGUGAAAAAUGGUCCAACUUUACUCGCAGCCGGAAACUGCAGUGUGGAUAGCAAUAAUACAGUGUCAGAUUUCACCUGUGAAAUUGUCUAAGAAACGAGGACAGUCCUCGCGAAAAUCAAGGGAACAGGCCCUCUAGGAAGCUAUUGUUUUCUUUAUUUAUCCUUUAGCUUUUCUUGGAGAUCAUGACAGAGGUGUGUGAAAUCUGCUCUGCAUUUGUCUAGUAAAGAUCACGUGAGGAGUUCAUUUCAGGUCACACUAGCACCAGGAAAGCCAGACUCCAAGGAAGAUCCAAGAUGUUUCCUUGUCCCCAAGAUUGAAAGCUGGAUCUGCCAGGGGCCCAGUGGACCCAGGUGGCUCCUCCAGUUAGGAAAACGAAGCCAGGGAUCAUGAGGGAGGAGCUAUUAUGAAGCUGUGGUUGGAACACUGAGAAACCCAGGCUGGCAAGGAGGGGCUGUGCCCACCCUAGGCCCAAUGGAUGAGCAGAGGGAGCAGCCACCAGAACCUGCAGGAGGAAGAGGCCUCUUGGACAGGGGCAGUGGCCUGGCAUCUCUACACAAAGUGAGUGAGAGCAGAAGGAAGCCCGGAGGAGCCGGGGAAGCCUCAGGCACAGAGCUCUUUCCCCUUCUGUGUGAUGAGAAGCUCAGCGUCAAACGGGAGGUAUUUUGCUUUCUCCUUCCUUGAUCCUUACAGCAGCCAAUACAGUGAUGCCACUUUUUCCAGGUGGAUAACAAUGUCUUAUUGUUUAAAACUUACACCUGCUUAUCAUAGGGACAAGGAUGAAAACCAAUAUCACCUUCCAAAAAGUGGCCACCUUUGAAAUAACCUUGCCACAUCAGGUGUCCAGAUAGAGACCCAACAGGAAAACAUCAUGUGGGGUUUACCUCCCAAAACAGGGUCUGGGUUGCUGCAGUUUGGAUAUUUGUCCCUUCCAAACCUCAUGUUGAAAUCUGACCCCCAGGGCCAGACGCAGUGGCUCAUGCCCGUCAUCCCUGCACUUUGGGAGGUGGAGGCGGGUGGAUCACCCGAGGCCAGGAGUUGGAGACCAGCCUGGCCAACAUGAUGAAACCCCGUCUCUACUAAAAAAUACAAAAAUUAGAUGGGUGUGGUGGCACGUGCCUGUAGUCCCAGCUACUCAGGAGGCUGAGGCAAGAGAAUCGCUCGAACCUGGGAGGCAGAAAUUGCAGUGAGCUGGGAUCGUGCCAGUGCACUCCAGCCUGGAUGACAGAGCGACACUCC